Molecule: unclassified non-coding RNA, 507 nt
Filed under: uncultured Entrophospora
Lineage: Eukaryota; Fungi; Glomeromycota; Glomeromycetes; Entrophosporales; Entrophosporaceae
Description: SSU rRNA
Rfam family: Eukaryotic small subunit ribosomal RNA
Source: RNAcentral
CCAAUAGCGUAUAUUAAAGUUGUUGCAGUUAAAAAGCUCGUAGUUGAAUUUCGGGAUUGGCGCAUCGGUCGUGCCUUACGGGGUAUGAACUGGUGCAGUCAAUUUCUCACCUUCUGGAGAACCGCGAUGUCCUUAAUUGGGUGCCGCGGGGAACCAGGACCUUUACUUUGAAAAAAUUAGAGUGUUUAAAGCAGGCAUUUUUGCUUGAAUACAUUAGCAUGGAAUAAUAAAAUAAGAAGGCAUGGUUCUAUUUUGUUGGUUUCUAGGACCACCGUAAUGAUUAAUAGGGAUAGUUGGGGGCAUUAGUAUUCAAUUGUCAGAGGUGAAAUUCUUGGAUUUAUUGAAGACUAACUACUGCGAAAGCAUUUGCCAAGGAUGUUUUCAUUAAUCAAGAACGAAAGUUAGGGGAUCGAAGACGAUCAGAUACCGUCGUAGUCUUAACCAUAAACUAUGCCGACUAGGAAUCAGACGAUGUUAAUUUUUUAAUGACUCGUUUGGCACCUUACG